AUGGCGGUUUGGAGGGAGAGGCCACCAUCAGCAACGGUUGUGAAGGUGAGGGGGGUUGGGGGGUUGGUGGGGGGAGGGUGGUUGGAGGACUUUGGGGGUGGUUGGAGGACUUUGGGGGCUGUUGGAGGACUCUGGGUUGAAGAUGGAGGACUUUGGAGGUGGUUGGAGGACUUUGGAGUUGGUUGGAGGACUUUGGGGGUGGUUGGAGGACUCUGGGUGGAAGAUGGAGGACUUUGGAGGUGGUUGGAGGACUUUGGAGGUGGUUGGAGGACUUUGGGGGUGGUUGGAGGACUUUGGGGGUGGUGGGAGGACUUGGGGUGAAGGAUGGAGGACUUUGAGACCCUUCUCCUAAAAUAUCCUAAAUUCGAUGGGAAAAACGGCCAAAAAAAGGGGGAAAAUGACCCCAAAUCCCCCCAUUCUGCUGUGCUAUUAUGGGAUGGGCAUUGAGUGGGGUGCUAUUAUGGGAUGGCCAUAAUACAACCCCAUGUAACCCCUUCAGCAGCCCCCAAACUGAAGGUAUCCCUGCUCCCCAAAUCGUCCUCUAACGAACGGAAAAAACGACCCCAAAAUGGGGGAAAACGGCCCC
Molecule: long non-coding RNA, 586 nt
Filed under: Phasianus colchicus (ring-necked pheasant)
Lineage: Eukaryota; Metazoa; Chordata; Aves; Galliformes; Phasianidae
Description: lncRNA (ENSPCLG00000019020.1)
Source: RNAcentral